AGUGAACGCUGGCGGUAGGCCUAACACAUGCAAGUCGAACGGCAGCACAGAGGAGCUUGCUCCUUGGGUGGCGAGUGGCGGACGGGUGGGGAAUACAUCGGAAUCUACUCUGUCGUGGGGGAUAACGUAGGGAAACUUACGCUAAUACCGUAUACGACCUACGGGUGAAAGCAGGGGAUCUUCGGACCUUGCGCGAUUGAAUGAGCCGAUGUCGGAUUAGCUAGUUGGCGGGGUAAAGGCCCACCAAGGCGACGAUCCGUAGCUGGUCUGAGAGGAUGAGAGGCCACACUGGAACUGAGACACGGUCCAGACUCCUACGGGAGGCAGCAGUGGGGAAUAUUGGACAAUGGUCGAAAGCCUGAUCCAGCCAUACCGCGUGGGUGAAGAAGGUCUUCGGGUUGUAAAGCCCUUUUGUGGGGAAAGAAAUCCAUCUGGUUAAUACCCGGGUGGGAUGACGGUACCAAAAGGAUAAGCACCGGCUAACUUCGUGCCAGCAGCCGCCGUAA
RNAcentral lists this ribosomal RNA (506 nucleotides) under uncultured bacterium. RNAcentral's name for it is "partial 16S ribosomal RNA". It matches the Rfam family "Bacterial small subunit ribosomal RNA", at positions 29 to 523 of the family's 1533-position model. The record is from RNAcentral.